GUGCUCACUUCAGCAACACACAUGCUAAAAAUUGGAGCAGUACAGAAAAGGUGAACAUGGCCCCUGCACAAGAGUGACGUGCAGAUUCACAAAGUGUUUAAUACUUUU
Camelus dromedarius (Arabian camel) is the source of this 108-nucleotide small nuclear RNA. NCBI's taxonomy places the organism in Eukaryota, Metazoa, Chordata, Mammalia, Artiodactyla, Camelidae. The record is from Ensembl.